Molecule: small nuclear RNA, 106 nt
Organism: Nomascus leucogenys (northern white-cheeked gibbon)
Lineage: Eukaryota; Metazoa; Chordata; Mammalia; Primates; Hylobatidae
Source: Ensembl
GUGCUCGCUUCAGCAGCACAUAUACUAAAAUUGAAAUGAUACAGAGAAAAUUAGCAGAGCCCCACGCAAGGAUGGCAUACACAUUUGUGAAGCCUUCUAUAGUUUU